Molecule: ribosomal RNA, 453 nt
Filed under: uncultured bacterium
Lineage: Bacteria
Description: bacterial SSU rRNA
Rfam family: Bacterial small subunit ribosomal RNA
Source: RNAcentral
UACGGGAGGCAGCAGUGGGGAAUAUUGCACAAUGGGCGCAAGCCUGAUGCAGCCAUGCCGCGUGUAUGAAGAAGGCCUUCGGGUUGUAAAGUACUUUCAGUCGUGAGGAAGGUGUUAAGGUUAAUAACCUUAGCAAUUGACGUUAGCGACAGAAGAAGCACCGGCUAACUCCGUGCCAGCAGCCGCGGUAAUACGGAGGGUGCGAGCGUUAAUCGGAAUUACUGGGCGUAAAGGGCACGCAGGCGGUUAAUUAAGUUGGAUGUGAAAUCCCCGGGCUUAACCUGGGAAUGGCAUUCAAGACUGGUUAGCUAGAGUCUUGUAGAGGGGGUAGAAUUCCAUGUGUAGCGGUGAAAUGCGUAGAGAUGUGGAGGAAUACCGGGUGGCGAAGGCGGCCCCUGGGACAAAGCUGACGCUCAUGCGCGAAAGCGUGGGGAGCAAACAGGAUUAGAUACC